CCUACGGGUGGCAGCAGUGAGGAAUAUUGGUCAAUGGCCGGAAGGCUGAACCAGCCAUGCCGCGUGAAGGUCAGUGCCCUAUGGGCGUUAAACUUCUUUUGUGCGGGAGCAAUAAUGGUCACGUGUGGCCAGACGAGAGUACCGUACGAAUAGGCAUCGGCUAACUCCGUGCCAGCAGCCGCGGUAAUACGGGGGAUGCAAGCGUUAUCCGGAUUUAUUGGGGUUAAAGGGUGCGUAGGCUGUGAGGUAAGUCAGCGGUGAAAUGCCGCCGCUCAACGGGGUGAAGUGCCAUUGAUACUGCCUUGCUGGAGUGCGGAUGACGUGGGAGGAAUGUGUGGUGUAGCGGUGAAAUGCAUAGAUAUCACGCAGAACACCGAUUGCGAAGGCAUCUCACGAAUCCGCGAUUGACGCUGAUGCACGAAAGCGUGGGUAUCAAACAGGAUUAGAUACCCCGGUAGUC
This 460-nucleotide ribosomal RNA is filed under the name uncultured bacterium. RNAcentral's name for it is "partial 16S ribosomal RNA". It matches the Rfam family "Bacterial small subunit ribosomal RNA", at positions 338 to 795 of the family's 1533-position model. The record is from RNAcentral.